GUUUGAUACCCCGAAACUACGUGAGCUACUUCAAGACAGCCUAUUAAUAGGGCUAACCCAUCUCUGUGGCAAAAGCGUGGGAAGAACUUUGAGUAGAGGUGACAAACCUACCGAACCUAGUUAUAGCUGGUUGUCCAAGAAAUGAAUAAAAGUUCAGCCUCUAAGCUUCUCCUUUCACCUGAACUUAACCCCUUUAGAUGUAUUAAAGAAACUAAGAAAGUUAGUCAAAGGAGGUACAGCUCCUUUGAAUCAAGACACAACUUUAACAGGCGGGUAAAGAUCAUAAUAACCAAAGCUAGACAUUCUGGUGGGCCUAAAAGCAGCCAUCCCUUAGAAAGCGUUAAAGCUCAAACAUAUUACUUAUACCUUCUUAUCCUGAUCAAUAAAUCUCACCCCCCUAACCAUACUGGACCCUCCCAUGCCCCCAUGGGUGUGAUUAUGCUAAUAUGAGUAAUAAGAGAGCCCGCCUCUCUCCCUGCACACGUGUACCUCGGAACAGACAACCCACCGACCAUUAAUGACCCCAAACAAAGAGGGCAGUAAAUCAUAAACUAAAAUCAAGUAAAACAUUUAAAAAUUAACCGUUAACCCCACACAGGUGUACCCCAAGGAAAGACCUAAAGAAAGAGAAGGAACUCGGCAAACACAUAAAGUCUCGCCUGUUUACCAAAAACAUCGCCUCUUGUACCCCCC
Molecule: ribosomal RNA, 693 nt
Filed under: Careproctus rastrinus
Lineage: Eukaryota; Metazoa; Chordata; Actinopteri; Perciformes; Liparidae
Description: partial 16S rRNA
Rfam family: Bacterial large subunit ribosomal RNA (bases 1-443)
Source: RNAcentral